Drosophila melanogaster (fruit fly) is the source of this 115-nucleotide non-coding RNA. Lineage: Eukaryota; Metazoa; Arthropoda; Insecta; Diptera; Drosophilidae. The record is from Ensembl.
UCGUUUAAGAUGCUGUGAAUAUCCCGUUUUCUUAGCUUGGCAAUAAAAUAUUAUUCACAGAAACUAGUAAUUUACUUCCAAGCUAACUGAAGGGGAUAUUCAGUGCAACCACGGA